UGGAGUAUGUGGUUAAUUCGAUGCAACGCGAAGAACCUUACCUGGUCUUGACAUCCCGGAGACCCUUAGGAAACUAGGGGUGCUUCCAUCUGGAAGAAUCUGGAGACAGGUGCUGCAUGGCUGUCGUCAGCUCGUGUCGUGAGAUGUUGGGUUAAGUCCCGCAACGAGCGCAACCCUUGCCUUUAGUUGCCAGCAGUUCGGCUGGGCACUCUAAAGGGACUGCCGGUGUUAAACCGGAGGAAGGUGGGGAUGACGUCAAGUCCUCAUGGCCUUUAUGACCAGGGCUACACACGUACUACAAUGGCCGAUACAAAGGGCAGCGACACUGCGAGGUGAAGCCAAUCCCGUAAAAUCGGUACUCAGUCCGGAUUGGAGUCUGCAACUCGACUCCAUGAAGUUGGAAUCGCUAGUAAUCGUGGAUCAGCAUGCCACGGUGAAUACGUUCCCGGGCCUU
RNAcentral lists this ribosomal RNA (454 nucleotides) under uncultured Desulfobulbus sp. RNAcentral's name for it is "bacterial SSU rRNA". It matches the Rfam family "Bacterial small subunit ribosomal RNA", at positions 933 to 1382 of the family's 1533-position model. Lineage: Bacteria; Pseudomonadati; Thermodesulfobacteriota; Desulfobulbia; Desulfobulbales; Desulfobulbaceae. The record is from RNAcentral.